CAACUCCACUAGAAAUAUACAAGAUAAUAUAUUUCAGCUUGGUCGCUCGACCCCCGUGACUUCGAGCCAAAAGCACUCGAUGCUCGCGAGUCUCAGUUGUCGUUUGUUCAACGUAUUCUUUGGAAAAGACAAGUGGAGAAAUUAUUAUCGCACUUUCUGGAACCAAAAACCGUCUUACUAAAACGUCUUUACCUUCUUUCUUUUCUUGCUCACGAAGCUCACUUAGCAGAUUGAGCUGGUAAUAGAAAUGAACAUCAUGAAACAGCCGAAAAUUGGCCCAAUCAGGGAGGUGAAUGGUCUUGCGGUAGAGUUCAUUGCUGGAAGAAAACUUCGGGUGUGAACACAAGCCUCAAUAUCUGCUCACUCUGCUCCCAGAUUAUUCACUUCUCUGAUUUGGGCCAUUUUAAUUGUUUGUGCUGUUCCAUGUGGUUCAUUUCUUAUGCCAGCCCUGCUCGAAACUUGUGUGCCUUCUCAUGUUUGAAUCAGAGUUGAAAGCAAUGCAGAACCAGGAUUCCAAUUGAUUCUUCGACUUUCUCGAGCUUCAAACAAGAGGGGAAGAGAUUUGUGAUGAGAAUCCGACGACCGAGAUGGAAGGUGCCGUAGAUGUGGAGAGGGUUAUGUGAGGUCGAUCGAGUCAAGUUGGAGCGAGUCAUCAUGGUAAAACUCGGGAGCCAACUAGGUCUGGAAAUGCCACUCAACUCACCAGCUUCUCAUUUAAAGUCUUUUCUUUUGCUUUGAAUAUUUGACUCAAUAGGUCAUUCGUAUGUAUUAUUGCAUUAAACUUGCCUAAAGAUAUUGUAAAUUUGCAAUACAACUCAACAAGAUAAUACUUUAAA
Long non-coding RNA from Theobroma umbraticum, 836 nucleotides. RefSeq lists it as uncharacterized. NCBI's taxonomy places the organism in Eukaryota, Viridiplantae, Streptophyta, Magnoliopsida, Malvales, Malvaceae. The record is from RefSeq and is a predicted model, not a curated record.